This 443-nucleotide ribosomal RNA is filed under the name uncultured bacterium. RNAcentral's name for it is "partial 16S ribosomal RNA". It matches the Rfam family "Bacterial small subunit ribosomal RNA", at positions 338 to 795 of the family's 1533-position model. The record is from RNAcentral.
CCUACGGGUGGCAGCAGUGGGGAAUAUUGGGCAAUGGGCGCAAGCCUGACCCAGCAACGCCGCGUGAAGGAAGAAGGCUUUCGGGUUGUUAACUUCUUUUCUGAGGGACGAAGAAAGUGACGGUACUUCAGGAAUAAGCCACGGCUAAGUACGUGCCAGCAGCCGCGGCAAUACGGAGGUGGCAAGCGUUAGCCGGAUGUGUUGGGUGUAAAGGGUGUGUAGGCGGGAAGGCAAGUCAGAUGUGAAAACUCAGGGCUCAACCCUGAGCCUGCAUUUGAAACGGUUUUUCUUGAGUGCUGGAGAGGCAGUCGGAAUUCGGUGUGUAGCGGUGAAAUGCGUAGAUAUCCGGAGGAACACCAGUGGCGAAGGCGGAUUGCUGGACAGUAACUGACGCUGAGGCGCGAAAGCGUGGGGAGCAAACAGGAUUAGAUACCCCUGUAGUC